UCCUGCCUCCCCAAAACGAGUACCAAAAGAUUCAAAGAAGAAGCCCCCAAACCAAAUGGAAAAGCAAAGUUCCUUUAUGGGUGGGAAGCGUCGUUUGGGGAAAAAGAAAUUUGACAAGGACCAUAAACCUCUCACCAAAUGCAACUCUGCCGCCUCUUU
Molecule: non-coding RNA, 159 nt
Filed under: Paramoeba aestuarina
Lineage: Eukaryota; Discosea; Flabellinia; Dactylopodida; Paramoebidae
Source: RNAcentral